CGUUCCACAGGGAUGCUGGCCCAUGUUGACUCUACAAGGUGUUGAAAGCGUUCCACAGGGAUGCUGGUCCAUGUUGACUCUACAAGGUGUUGAAAGCGUUCCACAGGGAUGCUGGCCCAUGUUGACUCUACAAGGUGUCGAAAGCGUUCCACAGGGAUGCUGGUCCAUGUUGACUCUACAAGGUGUUGAAAGCGUUCCACAGGGAUGCUGGCCCAUGUUGACUCUACAAGGUGUUGAAAGCGUUCCACAGGGAUGCUGGCCCAUGUUGACUCUACAAGGUGUUGAAAGCGUUCCACAGGGAUGCUGGCCCAUGUUGACUCUACAAGGUGUUGAAAGCGUUCCACAGGGAUGCUGGUCCAUGUUGACUCUACAAGGUGUCGAAAGCGUUCCACAGGGAUGCUGGUCCAUGUUGACUCUACAAGGUGUCGAAAGCGUUCCACAGGGAUGCUGGUCCAUGUUGACUCCACAAGGUGUCGAAAGCGUUCCACAGGGAUGCUGGUCCAUGUUGACUCUACAAGGUGUCGAAA
Long non-coding RNA from Oncorhynchus keta (chum salmon), 527 nucleotides. RefSeq lists it as uncharacterized. The record is from RefSeq and is a predicted model, not a curated record. The transcript is spliced from 4 exons. Lineage: Eukaryota; Metazoa; Chordata; Actinopteri; Salmoniformes; Salmonidae.